AUAAACAUGAUAAUUAUAGAAUUCUGGAAAUUAAUGUAUGCAUAACAACCAAACCUAUCAUGAAAAAUAUAAACUUGAAAAAAAUGUUUCUAAAAUAUCAUUCUUCCCUAGCACUACAAACCUGUAAAAGUAUGUACUCGACUUUCCUGAUUUUUACUCGACAAGUCUAAAUUGGUCUAAAAUUUACAUGAUAAUACUCGACUGCAGUCUUACCUAAACUAGACAAUUUUUUAAUCUAUCUAUUGUAUUUCAUCAAUUUAGGUACUGUUUUUAGAAAGAGCUAUUUCCCCUUACUAAAAAUUUGAACAACAAUUUGAAAUCAAAAAUGUAUUCAAUAUGGUAUUGAAACCAAAAUUUAACCAUAAACAUAAUAUAACUUCACAACAUAUAUUCAUCAACACUUACAUAUCACCUUUAAAAAAAAAAAACAAGCUGAUCAAAUAAUCUAAAACUGAAUUGUGGGUAGUAUUUACAACGUUAUUCAAAAUGUUUUGAAUGUUUCAGAUAUGUUUUAUGGUUACUAGAAAAUCUAAGCCUUGAAUAUAUUUAUGGUAUCAGUAUGUUUAGUUUUAAUAAUGCAGUGAACCUUUUUUUUUUUAAAUAUAUAUAAAUAGUUUAUUAAUCAACUUAAUAAAUAAAAACAAAAAUCACAUCUUUGUUUUGAAAAACCAUGAUGGGGUUACUUCUUAAAUUUUUAGUGGUAUGAGUGUGCUAAAAAAACCACACCUUUUCAUACCCUGCUGGUUAGAUCAGGGUCUCUUUUUCAUGUCCUGCUGGUUAGAACAGGAUUCUUUUUCAUGCCCUGCUGGUAAGAACAGGGUCUUUUUAAAACUAUUUGUCUAGAACAGGAUCGCCUAUUUAACGCUUUAAGAUACAGUAUAGAACUAGUUUUAUCUUAUACGGUCUAGAACAGGGUAUACAUUUUCUGAGCGUGUAUAGAACAGGGUAUAUUUUUCAAUAUUUUUGUUAAGAACAGGGUAUAUUUUUAAACGUUUUCUGGUAAGAACAGGAUAUGAUUUGGCAAGUGCUGUCGGCACAGUUAUACCUGAAAGGAUAGUCAGUAACCCCCCAGUUGGAAAAUCAAGAAUUAAAUGUGAUCAUGAAGAUAGACAUUCCUUAGUGCAAUCCUUGAUAAUGUUUUAAAUGAGAAAAUGUGUUCCAAAGCGAUAAAAAUUUAUUUAAAUUAAUAUAUAAAUAACUUUUGUCAAACAUUAAAGACAUGCAUACUGGAAGCACUCUAAUAAGGUUUAAUUUCCAUAGUAAAUGUGCAUUUUACAGGUUAUUUUCCUCUUUUUCUUAAAGUCAUAUAUUACUUAUCUUGUGAAUUUAAAAGGCCUGGCGAUUUAAGUUUUACAGGAUGUUGCAAUUUUGUGAAUGAAUAAUAUUUAGAAUAUAAUGACCUGGUGCGAUCUUUUUAAUGAGUUUGUCCCAAGCAGGAGGUGUUAUUAGUUAUCUUGGUGUAAUUCAGGGGUGUACAGAAUGUUUCAACAACGGUGUAAAAUUCCGUUACACCCCUGAUUACACCAAGAUAACGAAUUUAUUUCGUAUGAACAUUCCUUUACUCAUUU
This 1568-nucleotide long non-coding RNA is filed under the name Mytilus galloprovincialis (Mediterranean mussel). The record is from RNAcentral. Lineage: Eukaryota; Metazoa; Mollusca; Bivalvia; Mytilida; Mytilidae.